UUGUACACACCGCCCGUCACACCAUGAGAGUUUGUAACACCCAAAGCCGGUGCGGUAACCUUUUAGGAGCCAACCGUCUAAGGUGGGACAGAUGAUUAGGGUGAAGUCGUAACAAGGUAGCCGUAGGAGAACCUGCGGCUGGAUCACCUCCUUUCU
Molecule: ribosomal RNA, 156 nt
Filed under: Weissella thailandensis
Lineage: Bacteria; Bacillati; Bacillota; Bacilli; Lactobacillales; Lactobacillaceae
Description: partial 16S ribosomal RNA
Rfam family: Bacterial small subunit ribosomal RNA
Source: RNAcentral